CUCUCCAAUCUCCCUUACCUACUACUGCCGCUGCCGCCUCCUCUCGGUUUCUGAUGCCGCUUCGAUCGAAGAUCACCGCAUCACUGGUGCUUAGAUACCAGGGUAUGUCUCAUGUUCUUCGUUGACGGGAGGAGGGAAACAGCAGCCGCGCCAGGCGGCAUGCCUUCCGUGCCGCACGGUGCCCGAGACGCGGCUGCCCCAUGCUCUGUCGGCGCAGAUUCAUCGUCUUCAUCUACACGAGGCAUCUCUACCAGACCACCGGCCAUGCCCCCCCCCCAUCUACCAUGCUGGAUGGCCGCCUCCUAGAUGAGGUAUCACGCUGCAUCAACCAUCCUCUGCUGCCGCCGCCGCUGCUGCCUAGGUCCCUCCUCUCUGCUCCUGCCAAGGCUGAUAUAAAGAGCUCAUCAUCGUCCUCGAACAGGGAAGUAGCAUUUCUGGAGGAAAUGGAAGAUGUCUUGUUUCAGUUUUGAUGGGAAUCGCUACAAAUAGCUAUGUUCAUGAAUGCCUCAAAAUUAGGGGAAAAGAUCCUAGAUCGAUCUGACCUCCUUGAUGAGGAGGGGAAGAUGGAGGAGGCUCUCGUUCUUGGCACUCGGAUCUCGAUAGGAUCGGCAUCAGCUCCAGUCAUCUGCAAAACACAAAAUAAAGGUCAAGCCUUGGCAACAAAAACCACGGGAAACCUGCAAUUCUGUACUGAACAAGAAGAGAUAAGUUGGGGAGAAAUUUAGGUCGCCCGAUUGAUGAGCUCCUGCAUAUGCAUACUAAAUGUUGAGCUUUAUUUCACCGACAUUUGGUUCUGAACAUGUGUGCUUUUAAGAAUGUUUGUAUUCUUCUCUAUUUUGAACAUCCCACAAAGAGAUUGAAAAUGGUGAUAUGUUCCUUUCCAUGGUUUAAGAACUCUGGGACUAGGCCCAACUAACAAAUAGCUUCCUCGUGUUAAAAUACAUCUGUAUUCAGCUGUUUUCAAGAGAAAUGUUUGAUCAUUUUCAGAUGAUCAGCAUAUGGUUAGCGAGAUUCAAGGGAACACGUGAUCUGAUUGUGCCUUCUAUAAGCAAAGCUGAGUUGUUGAGGUAAUUGUUCUUUAGGUACCUUCUAUAAACACGCGACACAUCUGU
Triticum dicoccoides is the source of this 1112-nucleotide RNA transcript. RefSeq lists it as uncharacterized. The record is from RefSeq and is a predicted model, not a curated record. The transcript has 4 exons. NCBI's taxonomy places the organism in Eukaryota, Viridiplantae, Streptophyta, Magnoliopsida, Poales, Poaceae.